Molecule: ribosomal RNA, 775 nt
Filed under: uncultured Neocallimastigales
Lineage: Eukaryota; Fungi; Neocallimastigomycota; Neocallimastigomycetes; Neocallimastigales
Description: partial large subunit ribosomal RNA
Rfam family: Eukaryotic large subunit ribosomal RNA
Source: RNAcentral
AGAGAGAGACAUGCGCGCAUAUCAAUAAGCGGAGGAAAAGAAACUAACAAGGAUUCCCCUAGUAACUGGCGAGUGAAGCGGGAAGAGCUCAAAUUUGAAAUCUUAAAGGGUUUCCCUUUACGAAUUGUAGUUUAAAGAAGUGUUUUCUGUUGAGGUUUUGGUAAAUGUUCUUUGGAAUAGGACAUCAUAGAGGGUGAGAAUCCCGUAUUUGACCUUUACUUUCAACUUUGUGAUACACUUUCAAAGGGUCGGAUUGUUUGGGAAUGCAGUCCAAAAUGGGUGGUAAAUUUCAUCUAAAGCUAAAUAUUGGCGAGAGACCGAUAGCGAACAAGUACCGUGAGGGAAAGAUGAAAAGAACUUUGAAAAGAGAGUUAAACAGUACGUGAAAUUGUCAAAAGGGAAGCGUUUGACACCAGUGUUGUUUUUCUGAAAAUCAAUUAAAGAACUGUUUAUGCUAAGUUGUUUAGACUUUAUCAGCUAACUGUUUAGUUUUGAGCUUUUCUUUAAUGCACUUUUCAGUUAACAAGUCAACAUCAAUUUCUUUUGCUGUAAAAAAGCUUGAGGAAGGUGGCUUGAGAUUCGUCCUUAAGUGUUUAUAGCCUCUUGCCUAUGCAGUCGGAGAGAUUGAGGUCUGCAGCGUAGAUCCUUCGGGGCUAAAUGCAUUUGUGCUAAGUUAUAGCAUUUUAUAGACACUUGUUGACUAUGAUUUGUCUUGUAGCUUACUCGCUUAUGUUAUUUUACCUACGCUUAGGAUGUUGACGCAUGAGAUAUACGC